AAUUGCAGAUAAAGUGCGGUGCGG
RNAcentral lists this non-coding RNA (24 nucleotides) under Arabidopsis thaliana (thale cress). Lineage: Eukaryota; Viridiplantae; Streptophyta; Magnoliopsida; Brassicales; Brassicaceae. The record is from RNAcentral.